GUGUCCGGCAACAAACAGCCGCCGCCGAGCGAGUCUCGGAGAUGGAGAUGGACAUGGACAUGGACAUGGACAUGGACACCAGGAGUCAUCCUGGGGGCUGUCAAAAUACUUCUUACAAAUAACCCACCCCAGCCUGGUCAAUUGCCCCUUCCUGAUGAAAUUCCUAAGUCGUGGCAAUAUCCAGGUAUAAAUCGUUUCCAUGCCUCGCACGUUUGCAGACAUCUAAAGAAUCAUGGAUACAUCACGGAGAGGAACGUUGCAAGAGAGGCGUUGGCUGGAGACCCUCAGCAGCCUGGGGCUCACCUAGAUCGGGCACUGCUCAUUAGAACUAGAGCGCGGACUGGACCUUGAAAAUGGAGCCGAUACAUCGUGCCUGUUGCAUGUGGGAUCAGUGGACCUUCUGCACACUUUGCUAAUUGGAGAUGUGCUUAGGUAUGGCAAUACUCUACUGGACUGUAUGUAAGAAAAUAAUUUCACUGUGCGUUUGCACAUGUGACAAUAAAAGCAUAAUUGAACAUCUUUACUUAUGGCUCAGAAGGAAUUUAGGAAUAAAUAAAAUCUGUAAACAUCAUAGUAUUUUUCAAAUGCACCCUUUGGAAGAGGCUGUUCUUGUAUAACCACCAAUAAUUCAUGCAAUUAUUUAUGGUGCUUUUAUGAUAAAAUAACGCCUUCAGUGUUUGCUUUUGGUGCAUGUCGGAGAAAUUGGAUCAAUGAAAAUGUAUUUCAUGACAGGACAAAUCGUGUUGGUAAUUGAGAGUAGACAA
Long non-coding RNA from Amblyraja radiata (thorny skate), 764 nucleotides. RefSeq lists it as uncharacterized. The record is from RefSeq and is a predicted model, not a curated record. The transcript is spliced from 3 exons. Lineage: Eukaryota; Metazoa; Chordata; Chondrichthyes; Rajiformes; Rajidae.